AUGUUCAAUCUGAUUCCCAGGUAAAAACCAUACUCAAGGUCCAUAGUGGGAGCUACAUUGGAGAUCGAUCAUAUAUAAAAGAAGAAGUGAGAAACCUGAGGUUCGAGAUGCUACUUUUAGUGAGAUUAAGGAGAGGAUUAAGGAAACCAAGGACGAAAAGAAUGCAAAGAAGGUAGAAGCAAAGGCUAAGAGUCACAAAAGUCUCAAGGCAAAGGGAACUUGCCAAAGGGUGCUGGACCCAAGGGCCCCAAGGCUGUGGUGGUAGUCGGGCCAAGGGCAAGCGCUGAACAUGAUCAUCUCUCAGAUUCUGCUCAUUUUUUUUGUGAGUGGGUCGAUGAUUGAUAAUUGAUUGUCCUGGAUGUAAUCUGGUUUGUUCUUUCAUCGAACUUUUAUCUUUGUUGCAGCUGAGUAAGUAAAUAAAGGAGGAGUGGCAAUUUGUCUGCAUUUUAAAUUUUUUAGCAGUGAGUUAAAAAAUGGAUUCGCUUAAGAAUGUCGAAUAACAUGAAAGCCCUUCUCUUGA
Non-coding RNA from Malus domestica (apple), 520 nucleotides. Lineage: Eukaryota; Viridiplantae; Streptophyta; Magnoliopsida; Rosales; Rosaceae. The record is from RefSeq and is a predicted model, not a curated record.